This 350-nucleotide unclassified non-coding RNA is filed under the name Hevea brasiliensis (rubber tree). The record is from RNAcentral. Lineage: Eukaryota; Viridiplantae; Streptophyta; Magnoliopsida; Malpighiales; Euphorbiaceae.
UGCCUGAUCUAACCUCACACUGGGUGCUGAAAAACCCCACGAUUGUUGCAAUAUGGAUACAGGGGGUUGUGGAACCCCAUGCUAAAGUCCACCACCUUCCUUGAAAGAUUGCUGCACAGUUUCUGGUNNNNNNNNCAUUAUCUGCUUCCCUAUCAUUGCUUACAAUGCCAAUUUCAACCUCUACACUACUCGUUUUAUCCACUUUGUCAGUCUCACAGUUCUCUUGUUGUCUGUGCCAACCAAAUUGACAUCAUUCUCAAUGCUACAAAGUUUCUGAUCACUCAUUGGUGCAGGGGAGCAACAUUCAGAACCUCUUUCCUGCUCAAUGACAAAAUUGUCCAGUUCAUCAG